RNAcentral lists this ribosomal RNA (417 nucleotides) under NC10 bacterium enrichment culture clone SFBR 2. Its description in RNAcentral is "bacterial SSU rRNA". It matches the Rfam family "Bacterial small subunit ribosomal RNA", at positions 1000 to 1414 of the family's 1533-position model. The record is from RNAcentral. Lineage: Bacteria; Methylomirabilota (SeqCode).
CCUGAAAGGGCGGGGUGCCCGCAAGGGAACGUGGAGACAGGUGGUGCAUGGCUGUCGUCAGCUCGUGUCGUGAGAUGUUGGGUUAAGUCCCGCAACGAGCGCAACCCUCACCCCUAGUUGCCACCGGGUAAAGCCGAGCACUCGAGGGGAACUGCCAGCGUCAAGCUGGAGGAAGGCGGGGAUGACGUCAAGUCAUCAUGCCCCUUACGCCCUGGGCUACACACGUGCUACAAUGGCCGGUACAAAGGGACGCGAGACCGCGAGGUGGAGCCAAUCCCAAAAAACUGGUCUAAGUUCAGAUUGCAGUCUGCAACUCGACUGCAUGAAGGAGGAAUCGCUAGUAAUCGCGCAUCAGCACGGCGCGGUGAAUACGUUCCCGGGCCUUGUACACACCGCCCGUCACACCACGAAAGCUGU